AACUCUCGAACAUACUCCCCCAAUGUGCCCCGUUGCGUUAUCCCUUGCAACUUUGCCCUAGCUUCAUCCUCGGUAAAUUCUAGGUAAAACUGUCAUUUCAACUCACAUUGAAACUUUUUCCACGUCCCAAUCUCACAUUACCUUUUAUCUGUGGUCUUACCUCGCCACCAUAAGAGCUCAAUAUCAACAAGAAACAUUGAAGCAUUGUUUACCUUAACG
RNAcentral lists this long non-coding RNA (219 nucleotides) under Gossypium barbadense (sea-island cotton). RNAcentral describes it as "long non-coding RNA (GBAR_LNC022235)". Lineage: Eukaryota; Viridiplantae; Streptophyta; Magnoliopsida; Malvales; Malvaceae. The record is from RNAcentral.